GCCCUUUUAGCUCAAUGGCUAAGCGUUGGCUUUGAUAGCCAAAGAUCGGUGGUUCGAAUUCACCAGAGCACA
This is a transfer RNA of Phytophthora infestans T30-4, 72 nucleotides long. It matches the Rfam family "tRNA". From Rfam's summary of the family: Transfer RNA (tRNA) molecules are approximately 80 nucleotides in length. Their secondary structure includes four short double-helical elements and three loops (D, anti-codon, and T loops). The record is from Rfam. NCBI's taxonomy places the organism in Eukaryota, Oomycota, Peronosporomycetes, Peronosporales, Peronosporaceae.